Molecule: small nuclear RNA, 200 nt
Filed under: Olea europaea subsp. europaea
Lineage: Eukaryota; Viridiplantae; Streptophyta; Magnoliopsida; Lamiales; Oleaceae
Description: U2 spliceosomal RNA
Rfam family: U2 spliceosomal RNA
About the family: U2 is a small nuclear RNA (snRNA) component of the spliceosome (involved in pre-mRNA splicing). Complementary binding between U2 snRNA (in an area lying towards the 5' end but 3' to hairpin I) and the branchpoint sequence (BPS) of the intron results the bulging out of an unpaired adenosine, on the BPS, which initiates a nucleophilic attack at the intronic 5' splice site, thus starting the first of two transesterification reactions that mediate splicing.
Source: Rfam by way of RNAcentral
AACCUUUCCCGUCCUUUUGGCUAAGAUCACGUGUAGUAUCUGUUAUUAUCAGUUUAAUAUCUGAUACGUGGGCCAUUGGUCCACACGAUAUUAAAUAAAUGUUUUAAAGGGUAGGGCCCACCAUGGUAGCUUACAAUUGCCAACUGGGGCUCUCGAGCGUUGCCCAGGUUUUGCACUGAAUAUUAAUAGAUGAUGAUUAA